Saccostrea echinata is the source of this 392-nucleotide long non-coding RNA. RefSeq lists it as uncharacterized. The record is from RefSeq and is a predicted model, not a curated record. Lineage: Eukaryota; Metazoa; Mollusca; Bivalvia; Ostreida; Ostreidae. The transcript is spliced from 2 exons.
UGGUGGUGGCGGUGGUGGUGAUCGCCGAGGACAGGCUUUAAAGGACUUGUUAGACAGAGCAAAUCAUUUGAAAGAUCAAGAUGAUGAAAACGAGCUCCUAUGGGUUGCUAUAAUAAGUCUAAUAAGAUAUUACAUUCAGCAACACCGGCAACAGCAACAGCAACACCAACAGCACCAUCCUCCUCCUCAUCAUAAAUAGUAGAGCGGACAUGGUGACAGAUAUUUAUGGAUCCGUAAAAGACAGAGCCUCUCGCUACCCAGUUCUUUCAAUUUUUUUAAUUUCCUUUUUAAUGUACAUGAAUAUUCAAAUGACUUCAAUUUCUUACUACAGUGAUAGCUAGCUUGUACCUUAAAUAUUGAAAAACAUGAAAUAAACCGAGUAAACUGUAUAA